Molecule: small RNA, 127 nt
Filed under: Marmota monax (woodchuck)
Lineage: Eukaryota; Metazoa; Chordata; Mammalia; Rodentia; Sciuridae
Source: RNAcentral
GUUAGGCAUGGUGAUGCAUGCCUGUAAUCCCAGUGACUCUGGAGGCUGAGGCAGGAGGAUUGUGAGUUCAAAGCCAGCCUCAACAACUUAGUGAGGCCCUAAGCAACAUAGCAAGACCCUCUCUCUG